RNAcentral lists this ribosomal RNA (492 nucleotides) under uncultured bacterium. Its description in RNAcentral is "partial 16S ribosomal RNA". It matches the Rfam family "Bacterial small subunit ribosomal RNA", at positions 29 to 507 of the family's 1533-position model. The record is from RNAcentral.
AGUGAACGCUGGCGGUAGGCCUAACACAUGCAAGUCGAACGGCAGCACAGUAAGAGCUUGCUCUUACGGGUGGCGAGUGGCGGACGGGUGAGGAAUACAUCGGAAUCUACUUUUUCGUGGGGGAUAACGUAGGGAAACUUACGCUAAUACCGCAUACGCCCUACGGGUGAAAGCAGGGGAUCUUCGGACCUUGCGCGAUUGAAUGAGCCGAUGUUGGAUUAGCUAGUUGGCGGGGUAAAGGCCAACCAAGGCGACGAUCCGUAGCUGGUCUGAGAGGAUGAUCGGCCACACUGGAACGGGAACACGGUCCAGACUCCUGCGGGAGGCAGCAGUGGGGAAUAUUGGACAAUGGGCGCAAGCCUGAUCCAGCCAUACCGCGUGGGAGAAGAAGGCCUUCGGGUUGUAAAGCCCUUUUGUUGGGAAAGAAAAGCAGCAGGUUAAUACCCCGCUGUUCUGACGGUACCCAAAGAAUAAGCACCGGCUAACUUCGUG